RNAcentral lists this transfer RNA (58 nucleotides) under Cyclospermum leptophyllum. Its description in RNAcentral is "tRNA-Asp". The record is from RNAcentral. Lineage: Eukaryota; Viridiplantae; Streptophyta; Magnoliopsida; Apiales; Apiaceae.
AACGUCGUCCAUCGCUGCUCAUUGUAAGAAUAGGUUCUUACUAUUGUCAAUAAAGUCG